GAUGAACGCUGGCGGCGUGCCUAAUACAUGCAAGUCGAGCGAACGGACGCGAAGCUUGCUUCUCUGAUGUUAGCGGCGGACGGGUGAGUAACACGUGGAUAACCUACCUAUAAGACUGGGAUAACUUCGGAAAACCGUAGCUAAUACCGUAUAAUAUUUUGCACCGCAUGGUUCAAAAGUGAAAGACGGUCUUGCUGUCACUUAUAGAUGGAUCCGCGCUGCUUUAGCUAGUUGGUAAGUUAACGGCUUACCAAGGCAAGGAUGCAUAACCGACGGGAGAGGGGGAUCGGCCACACUGGAGGUGAGCCACGGUCCAGACUCCUACGGGAGGCAGCAGAAGGGAACGUGCCGCAGUGGGGGAAAGUCUGACGGAGCAAGGCGGCGUGAGUGAUGAAGGCGUUCGGAGCGUAAAAAUCGGUUAUUAGGGAAGAACCUAUGUGGAAGUAACUGUGCACAGCUUGACGGUACCGAAUCAGAAAGCCACGGCUAACUACGUG
Molecule: ribosomal RNA, 497 nt
Filed under: uncultured bacterium
Lineage: Bacteria
Description: partial 16S ribosomal RNA
Rfam family: Bacterial small subunit ribosomal RNA
Source: RNAcentral